Molecule: microRNA, 23 nt
Filed under: Macaca mulatta rhadinovirus
Lineage: Duplodnaviria; Heunggongvirae; Peploviricota; Herviviricetes; Herpesvirales; Orthoherpesviridae
Description: rrv-miR-rR1-1-5p
Gene: rrv-miR-rR1-1-5p
Source: miRBase by way of RNAcentral
CGAUCGCACCUUUGGCCGGCCGG